Molecule: ribosomal RNA, 434 nt
Filed under: uncultured bacterium
Lineage: Bacteria
Description: partial 16S ribosomal RNA
Rfam family: Bacterial small subunit ribosomal RNA
Source: RNAcentral
AGCGAACGCUGGCGGCAGGCCUAACACAUGCAAGUCGAACGAACCUUUCGGGGUUAGUGGCGGACGGGGGAGUAACACGUGGGAACGUGCCUUUAGGUUCGGAAUAACUCAGGGAAACUUGUGCUAAUAACGAAUGUGCCCUUCGGGGGAAAGAUUAAUCGCCUUUAGAGCGGCCCGCGUCUGAUUAGCUAGUUGGUUGAGGUAAUGGCUCACCAAGGCGACGAUCAGUAGCUGGUCUGAGAGGAUGAUCAGCCACAUUGGGACUGAGACACGGCCGGAACUCCUACGCGAGGCAGCAGUAGGGAAUCUUGCGCAAUGGGCGAAAGCCUGACGCAGCCAUGCCGCGUGAAUGAUGAAGGUCUUAGGAUUGUAAAAUUCUUUCACCGGGGACGAUACUGACGGUACCCGGAGAAGAAGCCCCGGCUAACUUCGUG